GAUGAAGAACGUAGCGAAAUGCGAUAAGUAAUGUGAAUUGCAGAAUUCAGUGAAUCAUCGAGUCUUUGAACGCACAUUGCGCCCCCUGGUAUUCCGGGGGGCAUGCCUGUCCGAGCGUCAUUGCUGCCCUCAAGCACGGCUUGUGUGUUGGGCCUCCGUCCUCCUCCCGGGGGACGGGCCCGGAAGGCAGCGGCGGCACCGCGUCCGGUCCUCGAGCGUAUGGGGCUUCGUCACCCGCUCUUGUAGGCCCGGCCGGCGCUUGCCGACACAUCAAUCUUUUUUCCAGGUUGACCUCGGAUCAGGUAGGGAUACCCGCUGAACUUAAGCAUAUCAAUAAGCGGAGGA
This 345-nucleotide unclassified non-coding RNA is filed under the name soil metagenome. RNAcentral's name for it is "partial contains 5.8S ribosomal RNA, internal transcribed spacer 2, and large subunit ribosomal RNA". The stretch from base 1 to 120 matches the Rfam family "5.8S ribosomal RNA", at positions 35 to 154 of the family's 154-position model. The record is from RNAcentral.